AUUGAACGCUGGCGGCAGGCUUAACACAUGCAAGUCGAGCGGUAACAGAGAGUAGUUUACUAUUCUGCUGACGAGCGGCGGACGGGUGAGUAAUGCCUAGGAAUCUGCCUAGUAGUGGGGGAUAACUUGCCGAAAGGUAAGCUAAUACCGCAUACGUCCUACGGGAGAAAGGAGGGGACCUUCGGGCCGUUUCGUCUAUUAGAUGAGCCUAGGUCGGAUUAGUUAGUUGGUGAGGUAAUGGCUCACCAAGACCGCGAUCCGUAACUGGUCUGAGAGGAUGAUCAGUCACACUGGAACUGAGACACGGUCC
RNAcentral lists this ribosomal RNA (310 nucleotides) under uncultured bacterium. RNAcentral's name for it is "bacterial SSU rRNA". It matches the Rfam family "Bacterial small subunit ribosomal RNA", at positions 30 to 332 of the family's 1533-position model. The record is from RNAcentral.